AUUAUCAAUUUAAACAGGAAAGAAACGACAUAAAGUUUGGUAGCCCUUCUACAUAAUUUGUGGCUGUAGCCUUAAACAAAGUAUACAAAGUCAUAUAAAAUCAUUCUCUAAUUUGCUCAGUUGUUCUUGCUUGGUCUUCGAAACAACGGUUGUUCCUUUCUCUCCAUACACACCAUACAAUGUAUCCCGGAAUAAGGUUCCAUGCAAGCCUACUAUCUUUAUCUCGAAAUUUUCUCCUCCAUGCCCGCAACACAUCCUCCAUACGCCUAGGCAUCACCCAAUCCAUAUGUUGAAAAGCUAGAAUAGUGUUCCACAACCACCGGACAUCUUCACAAUGAAGGAACAAAUGGUCAUUCGUUUCUCUGUCUCUCUUGCACAUAUAAUACCAUUCGGUAACGUAAAAAUCUUUUCUACAAAGAUUAUCCACCGUUAAUGCCUGCCCCCUCACAACCGUCAAUAACAAGAAAGCCACCCGUGGGGACAGUUUACAUUGCCACACCAUCUUCCAAGGAAAUGAAAUCUCCAUCGAUCCCAAUAUAAAUCUAAAAUAAGUGCAAAAUGAGAAAAUACCAUCCCGUGUCAACUUCCAUCUGCUCUUAUCAUCUCCUCCCACUUGAAUAUGCACUUCAUGCAAGGAGGUAAAAAACAGUGCAUAAUCAUCCAGUUCCAAAUCCUGCAAACCCCUCUCGAAGGCAAUAUUCCAGCUAUAAUUUCCAUUAUAUAUGGCUAGGACAUCAUUCACCAUAGCAGUAGGCUGCAAGGCAAUGCAAUGCAAAGAAGGAAACUGUGCCUUUAGGGGAAGAUCUCCACACCAACAAUCAUCCCAAAAUCUGAUACUAUUGCCAUUCCCCGUCACAUAAGCCAAUUUCUCUCGAAAAUCAUUCCAUCCUCGUCGGAUAUACUUCCACAAACUCACCCCAUAAGAUUCACGACCCUCGAUCGAGCACCAACCCCCCUCCAUCAAACCAAACUUCGCUCCUAUGAUUUGUCUCCAAAGACUCUCCCUCUCCACUCCAAAUCGCCACAACCACUUGCCCAAUAAAGCCUUAUUAAAUAGAACAAAGCUCCUCACUCCAAGGCCCCCCCAUCCUAACAAGAGAACAAACCACACCCCAAUUAACCAAAUGAAAUUUCCUCUCUUCCCCUAGCCCUGCCCAAAGAAACUUCCUUUGAAUCCUUUUUAAUCUGUUUGCCACUGUACUAGGGAUAGGAAACAGUGACAGGAAAUAAGUCGGGAGAUUGGACAGAGUAGAUUUAAUGAGAAUAAUUAAAACUAUAACAUACUUGAGAAAACUAUUCAUUUAAUUGUAUUUCCAUGAUACACUAAAUUAUUCGCAUUUAGUUUUAAAUCAUAACACAC
RNAcentral lists this long non-coding RNA (1360 nucleotides) under Olea europaea subsp. europaea. Lineage: Eukaryota; Viridiplantae; Streptophyta; Magnoliopsida; Lamiales; Oleaceae. The record is from RNAcentral.